RNAcentral lists this ribosomal RNA (915 nucleotides) under uncultured Bacteroidota bacterium. Its description in RNAcentral is "bacterial SSU rRNA". It matches the Rfam family "Bacterial small subunit ribosomal RNA", at positions 11 to 916 of the family's 1533-position model. The record is from RNAcentral. Lineage: Bacteria; Pseudomonadati; Bacteroidota.
CUUUGAUCCUGGCUCAGGAUGAACGCUAGCUACAGGCUUAACACAUGCAAGUCGAGGGGAAACGAUAGAGAAAGCUUGCUUUUUCUAGGCGUCGACCGGCGCACGGGUGAGUAACGCGUAUCCAACCUGCCCAUCACUUGGGGAUAACCUUGCGAAAGUAAGACUAAUACCCAAUGACGUCCAUAGAAGACAUCUGAAGUGGAUUAAAGAUUUAUCGGUGAUGGAUGGGGAUGCGUCUGAUUAGCUUGUUGGCGGGGUAACGGCCCACCAAGGCGACGAUCAGUAGGGGUUCUGAGAGGAAGGUCCCCCACAUUGGAACUGAGACACGGUCCAAACUCCUACGGGAGGCAGCAGUGAGGAAUAUUGGUCAAUGGGCGAGAGCCUGAACCAGCCAAGUAGCGUGCAGGAUGACGGCCCUAUGGGUUGUAAACUGCUUUUAUAAGGGAAUAAAGUGAGUCUCGUGAGACUUUUUGCAUGUACCUUAUGAAUAAGGACCGGCUAAUUCCGUGCCAGCAGCCGCGGUAAUACGGAAGGUCCGGGCGUUAUCCGGAUUUAUUGGGUUUAAAGGGAGCGUAGGCCGGAGAUUAAGCGUGUUGUGAAAUGUAGACGCUCAACGUCUGCACUGCAGCGCGAACUGGUUUCCUUGAGUACGCACAAAGUGGGCGGAAUUCGUGGUGUAGCGGUGAAAUGCUUAGAUAUCACGAAGAACUCCGAUUGCGAAGGCAGCUCACUGGAGCGCAACUGACGCUGAAGCUCGAAAGUGCGGGUAUCGAACAGGAUUAGAUACCCUGGUAGUCCGCACGGUAAACGAUGGAUGCCCGCUGUUGGUCUGAAUAGGUCAGCGGCCAAGCGAAAGCAUUAAGCAUCCCACCUGGGGAGUACGCCGGCAACGGUGCAACUCAAAUGAAUUGACGG